GAUGAACGCUAGCGGGAGGCUUAACACAUGCAAGUCGAGGGGCAGCAUAGGGUAGCAAUACUCUGAUGGCGACCGGCAAACGGGUGAGUAACGCGUAUGCAACCUACCCUGUACAGGGGGAUAACCCGGAGAAAUUCGGACUAAUAUCCCGUAAUAAUAUCCGGAGGCAUCUUUGGAUAUUUAAAGUUCCGACGGUACGGGAUGGGCAUGCGUAACAUUAGCUGGUUGGUAAGGUAACGGCUUACCAAGGCUAUGAUGUUUAGGGGUCCUGAGAGGGUGGUCCCCCACACUGGUACUGAGACACGGACCAGACUCCUACGGGAGGCAGCAGUGAGGAAUAUUGGUCAAUGGGCGCAAGCCUGAACCAGCCAUCCCGCGUGCAGGAAGACGGCCCUAUGGGUUGUAAACUGCUUUUCCAGGGAGAGAAACUUACGCACGUGUUGCGUGACUGACGGUACCCUGGGAAUAAGCAUCGGCUAACUCCGUGCCAGCAGCCGCGGUAACUCGUCUCUA
RNAcentral lists this ribosomal RNA (513 nucleotides) under uncultured bacterium. RNAcentral describes it as "bacterial SSU rRNA". It matches the Rfam family "Bacterial small subunit ribosomal RNA", at positions 28 to 537 of the family's 1533-position model. The record is from RNAcentral.